Molecule: ribosomal RNA, 254 nt
Filed under: uncultured bacterium
Lineage: Bacteria
Description: partial 16S ribosomal RNA
Rfam family: Bacterial small subunit ribosomal RNA
Source: RNAcentral
UACGUAGGGUGCAAGCGUUGUCCGGAAUUAUUGGGCGUAAAGAGCUCGUAGGCGGUUCGGUAAGUUGGGUGUGAAACCUCCAGGCUCAACCUGGAGACGCCACCCGAUACUGCUGUGACUAGAGUCCGGUAGGGGAGCGUGGAAUUCCUGGUGUAGCGGUGAAAUGCGCAGAUAUCAGGAGGAACACCAGCGGCGAAGGCGGCGCUCUGGGCCGGAACUGACGCUGAGGAGCGAAAGCGUGGGUAGCAAACAGG